GAGGGUAUAGCUCAGUGGUAGAGUUCUUGCCUAGCAAGCAUGAGGGCCUGGGUUCAAUCCCUAGUACCUCCU
This 72-nucleotide transfer RNA is filed under the name Camelus bactrianus (Bactrian camel). It matches the Rfam family "tRNA". From Rfam's summary of the family: Transfer RNA (tRNA) molecules are approximately 80 nucleotides in length. Their secondary structure includes four short double-helical elements and three loops (D, anti-codon, and T loops). RNAcentral also lists the same sequence under 2 other names. Lineage: Eukaryota; Metazoa; Chordata; Mammalia; Artiodactyla; Camelidae. The record is from Rfam by way of RNAcentral.